Molecule: ribosomal RNA, 427 nt
Filed under: uncultured bacterium
Lineage: Bacteria
Description: bacterial SSU rRNA
Rfam family: Bacterial small subunit ribosomal RNA
Source: RNAcentral
UGGGGAAUAUUGGACAAUGGGCGCAAGCCUGAUCCAGCCAUUCCGCGUGCAGGACGAAGGCCUUCGGGUUGUAAACUUCUUUUUUACGGGGCGAAAAGCCCUUCUAUAAUACAGAGGUGUCAUGACGGUACCGUAAAAAUACGCACCGGCUAACUACGUGCCAGCAGCCGCGGUAAUACGUAGGGUGCAAGCGUUAAUCGGAAUUACUGGGCGUAAAGCUUGCGUAGGCGGUUUUGUAAGUCAGAGGUGAAAGCCCCUCGCUCAACCUGGGAACUGCCAUUGAGACUGCAAGGCUGGAGUGAGGCAGAGGGAGAUGGAAUACGGAGUGUAGCAGUGAAAUGCGUAGAUAUGAGGAGGAAUACCGAUGGCGAAGGCAAUUUCCUGGUCAUGGACUGACGCUGAUGUACGAAAGCGUGGGGAGCAAACA